AGAAGCUUGCUUCUCGCUGACGAGCGGCGGACGGGUGAGUAAUACUUAGGAAUCUACCUAGUAGUGGGGGAUAGCUCGGGGAAACUCGAAUUAAUACCGCAUACGACCUACGGGAGAAAGGGGGCAACUUGUUGCUCUCGCUAUUAGAUGAGCCUAAGUCGGAUUAGCUAGAUGGUGGGGUAAAGGCCUACCAUGGCGACGAUCUGUAGCUGGUCUGAGAGGAUGAUCAGCCACACCGGGACUGAGACACGGCCCGGACUCCUACGGGAGGCAGCAGUGGGGAAUAUUGGACAAUGGGGGCAACCCUGAUCCAGCCAUGCCGCGUGUGUGAAGAAGGCCUUUUGGUUGUAAAGCACUUUAAGCAGUGAAGAAGACUCCAUGGUUAAUACCCAUGGACGGUGACAUUAGCUGCAGAAUAAGCACCGGCUAACUCUGUGCCAGCAGCCGCGGUAAUACAGAGGGUGCAAGCGUUAAUCGGAAUUACUGGGCGUAAAGCGAGCGUAGGUGACUUGAUAAGUCAGAUGUGAAAGCCCCGGGCUCAACCUGGGAACGGCAUCUGAUACUGUUAGGCUAGAGUAGGUGAGAGGAAGGUAGAAUUCCAGGUGUAGCGGUGAAAUGCGUAGAGAUCUGGAGGAAUACCGAUGGCGAAGGCAGCCUUCUGGCAUCAUACUGACACUGAGGUUCGAAAGCGUGGGUAGCAAACAGGAUUAGAUACCCUGGUAGUCCACGCCGUAAACGAUGUCUACUAGUCGUUGGGUCCCUUGAGGACUUAGUGACGCAGCUAACGCAAUAAGUAGACCGCCUGGGGAGUACGGCCGCAAGGUUAAAACUCAAAUGAAUUGACGGGGGCCCGCACAAGCGGUGGAGCAUGUGGUUUAAUUCGAUGCAACGCGAAGAA
This 898-nucleotide ribosomal RNA is filed under the name uncultured bacterium. Its description in RNAcentral is "bacterial SSU rRNA". It matches the Rfam family "Bacterial small subunit ribosomal RNA", at positions 74 to 968 of the family's 1533-position model. The record is from RNAcentral.